AGUGAACGCUGGCGGUAGGCCUAACACAUGCAAGUCGAACGGCAGCACAGUAAGAGCUUGCUCUUACGGGUGGCGAGUGGCGGACGAGUGAGGAAUACAUCGGAAUCUACUUUUUCGUGGGGGAUAACGUAGGGAAACUUACGCUAAUACCGCAUACGACCUACGGGUGAAAGCAGGGGAUCUUCGGACCUUGCGCGAUUGAAUGAGCCGAUGUCGGAUUAGCUAGUUGGCGGGGUAAAGGCCCACCAAGGCGACGAUCCGUAGCUGGUCUGGGAGGAUGAUCAGCCACACUGGAACUGAGACACGGUCCAGACUCCUACGGGAGGCAGCAGUGGGGAAUAUUGGACAAUGGGCGCAAGCCUGAUCCAGCCAUACCGCGUGGGUGAAGAAGGCCUUCGGGUUGUAAAGCCCUUUUGUUGGGAAAGAAAAGCAGCAGGUUAAUACCCCGCUGUUCUGACGGUACCCAAAGAAUAAGCACCGGCUAACUUCGUG
Molecule: ribosomal RNA, 492 nt
Filed under: uncultured bacterium
Lineage: Bacteria
Description: partial 16S ribosomal RNA
Rfam family: Bacterial small subunit ribosomal RNA
Source: RNAcentral